This 369-nucleotide ribosomal RNA is filed under the name uncultured eukaryote. Its description in RNAcentral is "partial 18S ribosomal RNA". It matches the Rfam family "Eukaryotic small subunit ribosomal RNA", at positions 592 to 975 of the family's 1831-position model. The record is from RNAcentral.
CAAUAGCGUAUAUUAAAGUUGUUGCAGUUAAAAAGCUCGUAGUUGGAUUUCUGGUCGGAAGCUCCUGUCCUCUGAUGAGCGUACAAGUGCGUCCUACCAUCCUUCUGUUAACCUUUAAGGCUUUCGCGGCUUUCUAGGGGCUCAGAUAUUUUACCUUGAGAAAAUUAGAGUGUUUCAGGCAGGCUAGCGCCGGAAUACAUUAGCAUGGAAUAAUGGAAUAGGACUUUUGCCUCUUCUGUUGGUCAUGAGGCUCGAGUAAUGAUUAAUAGGGAUAGUUGGGGGCAUUAGUACUUAACUGUCAGAGGUGAAAUUCUCGGAUUUGUUAAAGACUAACUUAUGCGAAAGCAUUUGCCAAGGACGUUUUCAUUA